UGGGGAAUAUUGGACAAUGGGCGCAAGCCUGAUCCAGCAAUGCCGCGUGUGUGAAGAAGGCCUUCGGGUUGUAAAGCACUUUUAUCGGGAGCGAAAAGCGGCCGGCUAACACCCGGUCGUGCUGACGGUACCCGAGGAAUAAGCACCGGCUAACUUCGUGCCAGCAGCCGCGGUAAUACGAAGGGUGCAAGCGUUAAUCGGAAUUACUGGGCGUAAAGCGUGCGUAGGCGGUCAUUUAAGUCCGUUGUGAAAGCCCUGGGCUCAACCUGGGAACUGCAGUGGAUACUGGAUGGCUAGAGUACGGUAGAGGAAGGUGGAAUUCCCGGUGUAGCGGUGAAAUGCGUAGAGAUCGGGAGGAACAUCAGUGGCGAAGGCGGCCUUCUGGACCAGUACUGACGCU
RNAcentral lists this ribosomal RNA (400 nucleotides) under uncultured bacterium. RNAcentral's name for it is "bacterial SSU rRNA". It matches the Rfam family "Bacterial small subunit ribosomal RNA", at positions 355 to 747 of the family's 1533-position model. The record is from RNAcentral.